UACGGAGGGGGCAAGCGUUGUUCGGAAUUAUUGGGCGUAAAGGGCGCGUAGGCGGCCGGCCAAGUCGGGUGUGAAAUCCCUCGGCUCAACCGAGGAACUGCACUCGAUACUGGCUGGCUUGAGUCCGGGAGGGGAUGGUGGAAUUCCCAGUGUAGCGGUGAAAUGCGUAGAUAUUGGGAAGAACACCGGUGGCGAAGGCGGGUCUCUGGGCCGAUACUGACGCUGAGGAGCGAAAGCGUGGGGAGCAAACAGG
RNAcentral lists this ribosomal RNA (253 nucleotides) under uncultured bacterium. Its description in RNAcentral is "partial 16S ribosomal RNA". It matches the Rfam family "Bacterial small subunit ribosomal RNA", at positions 524 to 776 of the family's 1533-position model. The record is from RNAcentral.